Molecule: long non-coding RNA, 736 nt
Organism: Gasterosteus aculeatus aculeatus (three-spined stickleback)
Lineage: Eukaryota; Metazoa; Chordata; Actinopteri; Perciformes; Gasterosteidae
Source: Ensembl
AUGUUUUUUGUGACGCUCACUUCCUGCUACUUACGAUUUGCAACGUGGAAGUCACGCAUCGUCGAAGCAAGGCUCCUAAUUAUGAGGGUGUGCGGAGAUGCUAGCAGGUGGAGGAAAUUCCUUUGAUUAGCGCCCUUGGAGAGCGGAUUGAGUUUUCACGGUGUUCAAGAUGUUCACGACGUCAUGGUGCUCGUCGAGAGAAACGAAAUAAAUCAACACCCGUUUGAAACUCUCUGCGUCUUGAUCAAUCAAUCCGAGGGGCCGCUACACCAACCGCCGUCUAAAGUGCUCAGCAACCCCCCCAAGAUAUCACAGCCCUAUCAGCGCGGAAGGCCUCGGGUACCAGAGCCAAAUGAGAUUUGCAGGCGAGACCCGUGUGCUCUCCUCCCCCCUCGGAUGCCGCCGGCUGCAUGCAGGUUUUGGGCCAACUGAUAUUUUCCAGCGCGGCUGCGAGUUUGAAGGCAGAAAAAUGAUUUAACUCACUAAAACAACAGCAGGACGCACGGCGGACUUCAAGUCCCAGAGAACCCGAGAGGACGCGUGUCUCUCUGCGUCUGCCAGAGAAGAUCCAUCAGAGCCCGAAGCUGUGAUUCCAAUUCAACCAGCGUCUCCGCGGACAACUCUGCUUUCGUCACGCUAACAAUGUCAUAAUCUUACUGCGUUUCAGCAUAAAAGAAGCUCGCGACACCUUUUUUCCUGACACAUGCAAUGGGGGGCUCUUCUGGAUCUAACCUGC